UGCACUUAUGUAUGUUUUUGUUUAACUUGUGGACAAAGACUUAUGGAUAGGAAUCCUGUUUUACAACCCAGAGCUCACUGUUCAGUAUGAGUUUUGAUACAUAUAAGAAGGGAUGUU
Callithrix jacchus (white-tufted-ear marmoset) is the source of this 117-nucleotide small nucleolar RNA. NCBI's taxonomy places the organism in Eukaryota, Metazoa, Chordata, Mammalia, Primates, Cebidae. The record is from Ensembl.